UAGAAAAAGGCAUCAGUCACCGAUCGGAGAUUUUCUGUUCAGUCGCUUUAUCUGCCAUCGGAAAGGCAUCGUCGGCGAGCAUCACCUAUCCAUCAUAUUGUGAUUCUUGAUUGCAGAGACGUUAUUACUCUAUUGUCUAUUCACUAAUUCUUUGCAGGACCCAUUCUUCAAGCUUUCCAGAUAAAUUAGAAGUAUUUGACCGGAAACAAAUCAAGAUCCGAUAGAUUGAGAAAAUCCUAGACGAUCAAGACCCGAUUCGACUGAGAAAAUCAGUAAGAACAGUACUGUAGGAUUUUCGAUACACUUUGUGGUUAUUUUACCAUGCGACGGAAUCUGAUUCUCACCGUCCUCGUCGUCUAUCACUUCUCCUAUUCUCUUUGUACUCUUCCUUCAGUAUUUUCACCAAUCCGGCACGUUUACCGGCAAGGAAGCUGCCGCCCUUACUCCAUUACUGUUGAAUUUUUUCUGUGAUCUCAAAAGAUAUAAAACAGAUUUUUUGCUUUAAGGGUAAUUUGUAGAAGAUAUUGGUUUUCAUUUCUGGGUUUUUUGCUACCCUAUUCUCUUGGUUCCGUGGGUGUUUGCAUAUUUUGCAGGUAUCAUUUUUGGGAGGUGCAGCGCACAAGCAGUAAAGUAGAAGCUAUACGCCAGUUUCCGCAGCAUCGGGAGUAUAUCAAUUCGAGAGUUCUAGGUUCUAUUCAUGGGAAUUGGUACCUCUCGCCUCUUGUUUAUUUGUCAUCUGUGUUAAUUACUUUAUUAGCGUAGUAUUUCCUACUAGUCUAGUCAGUUUAGUGGGCUUGUAGUUACUAUUUGCUCCCUUUAUUGUUUUGUGUGGUGUUUUUUCUCCGUUUCAUUUUUAGACCUUCAUAGGUAUAGAGACUAUGGUUUGUAAUGGCAGAGUAGGGUCAUGUCCUCGGGGAGGUCGGGUGGUAGGGAGGGGGUAGGGCAAGGGUCGGGGGUGGGACGGGGCCCAAAUGGGGUAAAGAGAACAAGGUAGCCUGUAGGUUGAGAGUUGGAUUUUGGAAUAUAGGGACGUUGACGGGAAAGUCUAUAGAGCUGGCGAAGAUUCUCCAAAAGAGGAGGGUCAAUAUAGCGUGUGUGCAGGAGACUUGGUGGGUAGGAACGAAGGUGAGGAAUGUAGACGGGUAUAAAUUGUAGUUCUCCGGAGUCGUGAAGGGCAAGAACGGAGUGGGCAUUUCGGUGGACAGGGAGCUUAGAGAGCCGAUGGUAGAGGUUAGACGGGUGAAUAACAGAUUGAUAGUGAUUAAGGUAGUAGUUGGAGGGAGCACUCUGAAUGUCAUUAGUGCUUACGCGCCACAAACGGGCUUGGACGAGAAGGUAAAAAGGUGCUUUUGGGAGGCGCUGGAUGAGGUGGUGCGGGGUAUUCCGCCGACGGAGAAGCUAUUCAUAUGAGGGGAUUUCAAUGGCCAUAUUGGAUUGUCUGUUGGUGCCUAUGGUGAGGUGCACGGCGGCUUCGGCUUUGGUGAUAGGAACAAGGGUGGUACCUCACUGUUGGAUUUCGCUAGAGUUUUUGAGUUGGUGAUCGUGAACUAUAUGUUUCCAAAGAGGGAGGAAUAUUUGGUUACUUUCCGGAGUAUGGUGGCUAAGACUCAAAUUGACUAUCUCCUCCUCAGGAGGUGUAAUAGGGGGGUUGUGCGAGGAUUGAAAGGUGAUCCCGAGUGAGAACCUCGAAACUCAACAUAGGCUCCUAGUGAUAGAUGUUAGUAUUUUGAUGAAGAGGUUUGUACGGGGUCCGUCGAGGAUCAGGUGGGGAGCUUUGUCUAAGGAUAAUGCGCAAGAGUUCGAAGGGCGGCUGACAAAUAUAGGUGCCAGGAAGAGUAGUGGGGACGCUAGUGCUAUGUGGACGGCGACGGCGGACUGUAUAAGGGAGGCAGCAAGAGAGGUGUUGGGAGUUUCGAAAGUCUAUUAUGGGGGAUAUCGAGGCGACUGGUGGUGGAAUGACAUUGUCCAAGUUAAAGUGGAAGCCAAGAAAGUUGCGUACAUUAAAUUAGUAGAGAGCAUCGACGAGGAUCAGAGGAGUACGAACAGAGAAAAAUAUAAGGAGGCUAGGAAGGAGGCGAAAGUAGCGGUCACAGAGGCUAAGACUGCUGCUUUUGGUCGGCUUUAUGAGGAACUUGGGGGGAAAGGUGGGGAUAAGAAGUUUUUUUCAUUGGCCAAAGCAAGAGAGAAGAAGGCUCGCGAUCUGGAUCAAGUGAGGUGCAUCAAAGAUGAGGACGGUCGAGUAUUGAUGGAAGAGGCCCAGAUUAGGCAAAAAUGGCAGUCGUACUUUCAUAAACUUAUAAAUGAAGCAGGGGAUAGAAACAUCAUAUUAGGGCAAUUGGGGCACUUCGAGAGUCACCGAGACUUUAGGUAUUGUAGGCGCAUUAAGGUUGAGGAGGUCGUGGGUGCAAUGGGUAAGAUGAGUCGGGGCAAAGUGACCUAACCUAACAAGAUUCCAGUAGAGUUUUGGAGAUAUGCAGGUAGGGCAAGCUUGAAGUGGCUGACUGGGUUGUUUAAUGUUACCUUCAGGACAAAGAUGAUGCAUGAUGUGUGGCGGUGGAGUACAAUGGUUCCGGUGUACAAGAAUAAAUGGGAUAUCUAGAAUUGUAACAACUAUAGGGGCAUCAAGUUACUAAGUCAUACCAUGAAAGUCUGGGAGAGGGUGGUGGAAGGGAGGAUAAGGAGGGCGGUGUCUAUAUCAGAAAACCAGUUCGGGUUCAUGCCGGGCCAUUCUACUACGAAAGUUAUCCACCUUAUCAGGAGGUUGGUGGAACUAUACAGGGAUAGGAAGAGGGAUUUGCAUAUGGUGUUUAUUGAUCUAGAGAAGGCAUAUGACAAGGUCCCUAGGGACGUCCUUUGGAGGUGUCUGGAGGUGAAAGGUGUGCUGGUGGCUUGCAUUAGGGCGAUAAAGGAUAUGUAUGAUGGAGCUAUGACUCGGGUUAGGACUGUGGGAGGUGACUCAGAUCCUUUUUCGGUGGUUAUAAGAUUACAACAAGGAUCUGCGCUCAACCCGUUCUUAUUUGCUCUAGCGAUGGACGCACUGAUACAUCAUAUCCAAGGAAAGCUGCCAUGGUGUAUGUUGUUCGCUAAUGUUAUAGUUCUGAUUGAUAAGACACGAGGCGGUGUUAAUGGGAGACUGGAGGUAUAGAGGAAGUCUCUAGAGUCUAAAGGUUUCAAGUUGAGUAGGACUAAGACAGAAUAUAUGGAAUGAAAGUUCAGCGAUGUGACGGGGGAAGCAGAUGUAGAAGUCAAGCUUGACUCACAGGUCAUCCUCAAGAAAGAAAGUUUUAAGUACUUAGGGUCAAUUAUCCAGGAAGAUGGGGAGAUUGACGGGGAUGUUACGCAUCGUAAUGAAGUGGGGUGGAUGAAAUGGAGGUUUGCGUCUGGAGUCCUGUGUGACAAGAAUGUGCCACCGAAACUUAAAGGUAAGUUCUAUAAAGCGGUGGUUAGAUCGGCCAUGUUGUAUGGAGCUGAGUGUUGGUCAGUCAAGAAUUCACAUAUCCAGAAGAUGAAAGUAGCAGAAAUAAGGAUGUUGAGAUGGAUGUGUGGGUACACUAGGCUGGAUAAGAUUCGGAAUGAAGAUACUCGGGAGAGAGUGGGCGUGGCUUCUGUGGACGACAAGAUGCGGGAAGCGCGACUUAGAUGGUUCAGACACGUGCGGAGGAGAAGCAUAGAUGCACCGGUUAGGAGGUGUGAGCAGUUGACUUUGACAGGUACGAAAAGAGGCAGAGGGCGGCCUAAGAAGUAUUGGGGCGAGGUAAUUAGGCAGGACAUGGCACGGCUUCAUAUUUUCGAGGACAUGGCUCUUGAUAGGAACAUGUGGAGGUCGAGCAUUAGGGUGGUAGGCUAGGGGGUAGUCGAGAGUUCUUCCCUCUUUGUACCGGGUAGUCUGAUAGAGUUUCGUGUAGGUUUGUUAGCGGCCUUUGUUGUAUUCACAUUGUUGUUUGCAUAGUUUUGUGUUAUUGUCCUUUCACUUAUUUGUUGUGGUUAUUUUCUUUCUGGUAUCUUUUGUUGUUACAUGUCUUUUCUCUUUUUUAUUUCUGAUAUUAUUGUCUCUCCUGUUGAGUCGAGAGUUUCCUAGAAACAGCCUCUCUGCUCUUUUCGGGGUAAGGGUAAGGUUUGCGUACACUCUACUCUCCCCAGACCCCACUAGUGGAAUUUUACUGGGUAUGUUGUUGUUGUCGUAAUUUUUGUAAAUUAUAAUUGGACAGAGUAUAUACCUAUGGGCUCCAGGCUCGAUAUUUGAGGCUAGUAGCACCAUGCUAUCCUGAAUUCUUAUAUGUGUCAAUUUUAAUAUUUUUCAAAAUUUUGNNNNNNNNNNNNNNNNNNNNNNNNNCUAAUAUCUUAGUCCGAAUAAAAAUAAAGAUACUAGUUUAAUCGCAAACAACACAAAAAAACAUGAAAACACAUUCAAAAUAACUAAUAUGCAUUAUUAUACGAGUUUCGACAUAAACUAAAUCGGAAUACCUCGAUUUAUGUUUUUCGAAAAGUCGAUGAAUUGAAAUUUUGAGCCCGAAAUGAGGAAACCACAACAAUAUAAGGAUUGGGUAGGAUGUGUGACCUACAAUCUUAUUUUUUUGUGUGACGGGUGGGGUCCGCUACAAUUUUUUUAAGAUGAAAUUUUGGGAGAGGGGACCGUUCUGUUUUGUUUAGAAAAAUGGGGUCGUCUGGUUCGAUGAUCGUGGGGAAGAAGAAGGGGCCCUAUUUAUCUAUGUAUAGUGCUUUUUAUUACUGCGCUAUACCCAUAUAGCGCGGUUAUAUAGAGCCCUAUGCUUAACUGUCUUAUCAGCACUGCAUAGCACGGUUCUUUAAUGCGUUAUACAUAUAUAGCGCUCUUUAAACAGUCAAAAUUCUGUUAAAAUAUAGCGCUCUUUAAAUAGUCACUUUUUUUUUAUUUAUUUAUGUCACACUUGUAUAAAAAUCCCACAAAUCCGUUAUGGACUCGCACUGGGGCAACACAUGGCUCAUUUCUCCCAUGUCUCGUUUUUUUUUUUCUUUCCGAAAAUGGAAAAUAAAGUGAACAUUAUCAGGGUACUAUAUGUACUUAAUUUUGUUAAAGACUUUUUUCUGUCUUCCACUGUUGGAUCCGCCACAUCUAAUAUAGUGUGAAAAGUAUAGUCCUCUUGAAACAAUUCCUGGCGCAUAGUGGCGGAAAUGUAAAGUACUUUUUUCUUUUCUUGUUUUAUAUGUCUACACUUUAUACGGAUCACUAGAAUACCCGUCAUCCAAAUUCCUUGUAGUUUUGUAAGUGUAAAUAGUUUUUUAGGCUCACGCAAAAAAUAUUUAUAGGAAAACCUUUUUAUCAUUUACUAUUUAAAAUAAGACAAGUUACCUGUUAUAUUAUAUAAAGAUAAUUUGAGAGUGUAAAAAUUUCUGACGAUGUAUAUAACUUAGAGCUAUCUUUAAAAGCAAAUUUCUGUACUGUACGCGUUGGCCAAAGUCUAUCCUUAGAUAUGUCGCACGAUAGGCCAAUUCUGUAAGAGUAGCUAAUUAGCUAUUGCAGAAAAGUGAUCCUAAUAGACGGGUUUAGAAAGCAGACAAAGUACUUUUUGCUUCUCCUGUAUAUAAUAUCCUAUAAUUAUGGAAUCUCACUUUAACUUCAUUUUCUUUAUUCUUUUCUCUUCUACUGUCACUUCAAAUACUUAAAAUUCCCAAUAAAGGUUGGCAAAAUCUCUUGAACUCUUGUUGAAAUUGAAAUUUGGGAAAGUAUUAAUUGAACUAUCGUGAAAUAUAGUUAAAAAGAGUUGAGUUGGAUAAGAGAAGGUACUUCUCGUGCUUAUGAUGGAUUUGGGAUAUUAUAAUUAUAGAUCAAAGUAAAUCACUUUUCUUAACUCUACGCAAAGCUAGAUAAUAGGAUAAAACAAAAGCUAUAUUUAAGUCUUUUGAGAGAUUACCGGUCUAAUUAAAUGACUCUUAAUCCGUCUUAGCCUAGGAAUGAUGUGGCAGCAUGUCAAAACCCCCGUAACUGCCGGAAUAAAGGGCCAUCACUUCCUUCCACUAUUACUAUAUGUUACUUAAUGCAGACUUUUUCUCCACCCUCUCUCGAAACCGAUGACACGACUUUCUUCCCACUGAUAGAGAAUUACUUUUCUUUCCAUUCAAAAUCAGAGUAAGAGUACAGAUUUUCAACCGGUAGUACCUUCCCUCUCUGUUGCUGCAUCUUCUUAUCCUCCUUUUUUCCUUUUCCCUUCUCCCUUUUUCAUUAGAGUUCCAUCUCUGUCUUUUGAUGUUCAGAUUAUUUUUGCAGAUUUGAUUCAUUAUGUUUUUUGGUCUAAUGUGCCUUGCUCUGUAAAAUUUUGCAACUUUGUUGUUCAAUUUUGUCUCACUGAUUUGCUCAAUCAAAUCACUUAUUUCCUCUUUUCAGGUUUCAGGAAUCGCUCUCUACAUCAAAUCUCGAUUCUCUCGGUCAACAUUCUGAGCGCUAAUCUACCCAUUUGGGUUUUCUGAUUACAACUGCUUCUUGAAUGUGUUUAACUACUUCGGUGAAACACUUCACUUCUUCUCUUUUAUCAUGUUAAUUAAUUCCCUAUUCCCUCUUAUAUUUUGAUUAUUUAUACCUUUGUGACAGAGAUGUGGCCAAGGGCAAAACAAGGGCCUAUAACAGACACUCUUGGAACUUCUAUUGGUUCAUCAUUUAUACUUUACGUAUUAUUUUCAUCUGCUUUUUGUUUUAAUUAUUUUAUGAAUCAUUUAGGGAAAAUGCUUUAUUGUUGUUGGUGACGCCUUUCAACUGUUAGAGAGACUUAUUUUGCCUAUCAUGUA
RNAcentral lists this long non-coding RNA (6759 nucleotides) under Nicotiana tabacum (common tobacco). RNAcentral describes it as "long non-coding RNA (NTAB_LNC014416)". Lineage: Eukaryota; Viridiplantae; Streptophyta; Magnoliopsida; Solanales; Solanaceae. The record is from RNAcentral.